Manis pentadactyla (Chinese pangolin) is the source of this 2127-nucleotide long non-coding RNA. RefSeq lists it as uncharacterized. The transcript has 3 exons. The record is from RefSeq and is a predicted model, not a curated record. NCBI's taxonomy places the organism in Eukaryota, Metazoa, Chordata, Mammalia, Pholidota, Manidae.
GAGAAAGCAUUAGCUGCAGAAAGUCUUCAGUCAAACAAAGUUGAACAGGUGGGAGGUACAAAGAGGACGCCUUGAGGUGUUAUUAGUGGCCAUUUGCCCACCACCGGGUACUUUUCUCCAGGGCCACAGCAAGUUGCCCUGGCUCCUUUAGCGGUUGCGUUGGUCGUUCAGCCUGCGUGUGGAGCCCAGCCUUCUAUUAGGCAGUGUAUUAGGCAAUAAGGGUACAAAAUGGAGUAAGACAUUGUUCCUACAGUCCAGCCCUAGACCAGCAUUUCUCAGGGGCCACCAUCAUCAUGAGGGACCUACUGGAAAGGCAGACUCCUGGAUUCCACCCUGGCCCAAACAAAUCUGACUCUUUGGAGGUAAUUCUUAUUAUGCAUACUCUAAUUAUAUAUUUGUUUGACAAACCAAUUGUUUUUUAAACAAAGAUCCCUAUAGAGCACGGUGAACACGGGAACACAGCAUAGAGCAAAGUUGCUUGGAAAAGUCAGGCAGCUUAAAGCUAGGGCUUAAAUGUUGCUGAAGCAUUUGGCUGGCAUGGGAAGGUGUGUCAGUUAGCAAUCUACUGCUUGUCUGCUCCAAAUUCACCCUUUACUACAUGCUCGUCAAUAAUGGAUAGUUCCUUUAAGCGUUUUGCCUCUCCAGUGAGCAUAAUGCAGAGCUUUCUCAGUAGAGGGCUCUGGAGGGACACUGCAGGAGAAAAGGGUCUCCUGCUGUAUCUGGCUGCUGCAUGGCAGGGUCAGCAUGUGGCUGUGGGGAUACCAGUGAUGACUCCAGUCAUGAGUCAGAAAGGGUGGUCCUUCUGCAACCUUAUGGCUCUGGCAUGGUCUAGUGUCACCUUCCCCCAACUCUUUCAACACAGACACCAUGCACUCUCGGCCUCUGGCACACCCCUGCACUUGUUUGUUACAUACAGUCCUCCCAAUGACAUGGCCCUCGUGAUGAGGACACUAUAUGCUCCCCAUCUCCUGCUGUACUGAUACCCCAUUUCCUCUGGGAAAUGCCCAGCCAGCAACAGCAACUUGCCACCAGGAGGGUUGCCACCAGGGUGCCCAUGCCCCCACAUCCUGUGUGUCUAUGCAACUGGCUACUUCUGGCUGUGGCUUUCCUACAUGGGUCCUGUGCUCCUGAAGAGGACUUCCUGCGGCCAAGCAACUGCAGACCAGCCGUCCUGGGCAAGCCAGAGGGCUGCUCUGCCGUUCAGUGAGCUGCAACUAUGCAUUCAGAGAGUCUGAACCCCAGCCUUGGGGAGGGCCCCUUCCCAUCAGUCCUGCUUUGGGCACAAUACCUCAGCCCUCGGUGCCACACGGUUUUCUACAGGUGCUCCCCAUCACAGUUUAACGACUGCUUAUGAUGAACUUUCCCUGUUCACAAGGAGCAGCAUGCACAAAAGCCUCAGUAAAACGUCACCCAAUUCAUUAAUGUUUGUUUUGAAUUUACUAAUAUUGGAGUUUGGUUUUAAUUUAUAAACAUGUUUUAUUUACAACUACAUGCUUAAGGAAUUUGUGUUAAUUUGCACAUAUUUCUGUUGUUUGUACAUAUUUAAACCCUAUCAUUGCAAAAAUAAUCUAAAUCAAUGUCGCGUUGGGAGGGAUGGGGGGCAUAGAGCAUAUCCUUCCUUUAAAACAGUGGUUCUCAGUCUUUGCUACUUUCAGAACUACUCAGGGAGUUCUAAACACCUCCAAUGCCAAGGCUGCAACUCUUUUCAGUGAAAUCUCUGGGACUGCAACUCAGACAUGAGCAGUUCUUAAAGCUUCCAGAUUGACUCCAAUGUUCAAUCAAGGUUGAGCACACUGCUUUUAAAGGUCAGUAUAUAUCAAGUUUGGGAAAUCGUUAUUAUUCAUUAUCUUAGAUGAUACACUCCAGGAAUAUUUCCAUGUUAAAAGGUGCAGAGACAUUAAGAUAUCUGCAUUUAAAUAUCCUUAUAAGGUAUAGACAAGCCCUGUGAGUGAUAGCUUAGUGCUAUAACCAUCACACUGCUGCCCACAUCUUGGGGGUAAAAUAAAUAAAUAAAAACCGGGUAUGUAUGGUCGCCCAUCUGUUAUUAUACUUUCUUAAUCUAAAGCACAAUGAAAUAUUUAAAUUAUCUUCAGAUACUAAACUUUAGCAAAGUAGGGAAACAUAGCU